UAUAUAUUUUUUAUUUGGGGCUAUCAACCCUGGGAGGCAAGGCCGAGUCUACCCAUUUUUCAGAAGGGGAAACUGAGGCUCCAAGUGGGGCAAUGUUUUGCCCAGGAUCAAGGGGCUUAACAGGAGACUGGGCGUGGAUUCCAUCCCAGUGCGGGCGGUUCCCAGGCAAGACCUAUGAAUCAAUUAAACCGACCAAUCCAAUCAACCAAUCAGUAUUUAUUAGGGCCUACUGGGUACAGCUCCUCUUCAUGCAGCGCAGGCAAGGAAGAGAGGAGGUUGCGGUGCGCAGGCGGCUGCGGAGACCGGAGGCCGCUGCCCGAUCGCGGGAAUUUGGCGCCAGUUUUUUGUUGGUUGGGUGUUCUCGCCUGUGAUUGGGCCCCGGCCCCGCGUGGGCUCACCCGGCUGCUACUGGUCGGCCGACCUUGGCAGGACCCCGGCGGCGCAGUACUCGGCUGGCCUCCCGGGGGAUGGGCCACCAGGAGCCCCCGCUGGCCCGAGUGCGGGCGGGACGUGCGGCUUAUAUAAAAAGGUUACGUAAAGGGCUCAGCUGGCGCGAACACGUGGAGAGCCGCGGGAGCCCUGACGCCCAGUUGUCCCUCGAGAGCACCGCUGCCGUCACCCGUACAGCAACAGGCUCUGUCGCACGCCCGACCCGGGCCACGGUCUCUCGCCCGGCUAGGUACCCGAAGCAGCCGUGGCCCGGAGCGGACCACCCCCAGCUGGGGGCCUUAGAGGGGAAACGCGCUGCCCGGAAGUGGAAGGGCGCAGGCCAGGUCACAAUCCAGGGUCCCGCUCCUCCGCGUCCCGGGGCCGGACGGAGGGAUGAGGCAGGGGGGUCCCGGGCAGCGCCGUUGCUGCUCCCCCCGCCGCCCGCAGCCAUGGAAACGGGGGAGGAGGACGGCGCCCGCAGAGGUACACAAAGCCCCGAGCGGAAAAGGCGAAGCCCAGUGCCGCGGGCGCUCAGCGCGAAGCUGAGGCCGGCGGCUGUGGCCCAGGCCAUGGAUCCGGUGGCGGCCGAGGCCCCGGGCGAGGCCUACCUGGCGCGGCGGCGGCCGGAGGGCGGCGGCGGGUCGGCGCGGCCGCGCUACAGCCUUUUGGCGGAGAUCGGGCGCGGCAGCUACGGCGUGGUGUACGAGGCAGUGGCCGGGCGCAGCGGGGCCCGGGUGGCGGUCAAGAAGAUCCGCUGCGACGCCCCCGAGAACGUGGAGCUGGCGCUAGCCGAAUUCUGGGCCCUGACCAGCCUCAAGCGGCGCCACCAAAACGUCGUGCAGUUUGAGGAGUGCGUCCUGCAGCGCAACGGGCUAGCCCAGCGCAUGAGCCACGGCAACAAGAGCUCACAGCUUUACCUGCGCCUGGUGGAAACCUCGCUCAAAGGAGAAAGGAUCCUGGGUUAUGCUGAGGAGCCCUGCUAUCUCUGGUUUGUCAUGGAGUUCUGUGAAGGUGGAGACCUGAAUCAGUAUGUCCUGUCCCGGAGGCCGGACCCAGCCACCAACAAGAGCUUCAUGCUACAGCUCACGAGCGCCAUUGCCUUCCUGCACAAAAACCACAUCGUGCACAGGGACCUAAAGCCAGACAACAUCCUCAUCACAGAGCGGUCUGGCACCCCCAUCCUCAAGGUGGCAGACUUUGGACUAAGCAAGGUCUGUGCUGGGCUGGCCCCCCGAGGUAAAGAGGGCAAUCAAGACAACAAAAAUGUGAAUGUGAAUAAAUACUGGCUGUCCUCAGCCUGUGGCUCAGACUUCUACAUGGCCCCUGAAGUCUGGGAGGGACACUACACAGCCAAGGCUGACAUCUUUGCCCUGGGCAUUAUCAUCUGGGCAAUGAUAGAAAGAAUCACUUUCAUUGACUCUGAGACCAAGAAGGAGCUCCUGGGGACCUAUAUCAAACAGGGGACUGAGAUCGUCCCUGUUGGUGAGGCGCUGCUAGAAAACCCAAAGAUGGAGUUGCACAUCCCCCAGAAACGCAGGACUUCCAUGUCUGAGGGGAUCAAGCAGCUCUUGAAAGAUAUGUUAGCUGCUAACCCACAGGACCGGCCUGAUGCCUUUGAACUUGAAACCAGAAUGGACCAGGUCACAUGUGCUGCUUAAAAUUCAGGGCAAAGCAUCUUGGGUGUUUUUAAACUAGCUGUAUGAUGUUUGAUCUUUUGAAAGGAUCACUGUACCUGCUGUGCUAAAAGUAAACUGAAGGGAGCAAGUGAGGGGACAAGAUGGGAGGCUACUAUGAUAACCCAGACUGGUGCUAUGUCACUCAUCAUGUAACUUCUGGAAAACUUCACAGUACACUUGUGAGAGAAUGAAAGUGGAAAAGGCAAAUAACUAUGAAAAGUUUUGGCUUCGUGUACUGCUGAGCUACAAACCACAUUUUGAUGCCUCUUCCUGAGGAAUUUUACUGUGAAGGGGAGCUGAGAAGUAGGGAGAGACCUAGAAAGAAGGGACUUAUUCAAGGUCCCAAAUGAAGGGGCAGAACUUGUGUGUCCUGAUUCCUGACCAGCUUUCCUAUGAAACUUUUUGUCGUGGGUCAGACUCUAGCUGCAUAAAGGAAACCCAGUCGUUCCCAGUAACAGCGUGAUGAAGGAAUGGUGAAGGAACGCCUCAGCAAUCUAGGAUUGUAGAUUUCAGAGUAAUGUUUAAAUUGGGGCUAAAUGGUUUCAGUUUUUUGCAACCAUGAAUGGAAUUGCACUUUGGGUUGGAAACAUGGGAUUCCUCUGAGAGGAGUGUUGCCUCGUGGACUGUCCAGAAUCGAGUCCCACUUCUGUGCUUUACUGGUUCUGUGACCUCAGGCAAGUUAUUUUACCUCUCUGGGUUUCAUCAUCCAUAAAGUGGAGUAGAUCAUACUUAUCUGAUUGAGGUUGUUGGAGGAGUUGCAAGAGGCUGUGAAAGUGCCCCGUAGAAACAGUCUAAGUGAGAUGCUGGACGGCACAGUCUUAGAUGCACGCUUGGGCUUGAGGUGGAAGCAGUGUCUUCUGUUCCUCUGAAGAUGGUGGUCUUUAGUUGCCUUGUUUCUGAGGAUUGCCAAAUAGCUUUCUUCUUUGAAACAAAGCUAUAGUCAAGGCAACUCUGUCCAAUUGCUUGUUCCAGAAAAAUGUCUCUGUUUUUAAAGGUUACUCAGUGAGGGGUCCUAGCUCUCUCUUACUUGUCACUUUUUGAAGAUGUUUAAUAAUCCCUAAUGGUUCCUACCAUCCAUCCAAAAGCCUUACCCAAAGCAGGAAGCCAGCCAGACUGAUGUUCCAGGUACCACUGCCCACACGUUACCGGGGAGGUUGCUGUGGGAUAAGGGACUCUGCAUUCAUGGCCAAGUUUGCUGUCUAAUACACAAACCUCAGUUACCUAGGGCCUUUUGAAGCCAGGGCCUUGAAUGAUGUUUAUUUGGAGUGGGCAGCUCAGGUCUGCUGAAGGAAAUCAGAUGUUGUUGUGACCUAAGGGGUCACAGAGAAUGUUCUUUGUACCAUAUGCGAUCUUGGUAGCUGCCCAACAUCAGAAAGAAAUUGGGCCUAAUUUCUUGUUGAAGUAAUAAAUGAUAUAUUAUUCCCUGGCCUAGGGUCCAAAGAUGUGGCUCUGGGCUAACAUGUUGGGUAUCCGGUUGGCCCCUUGACCUGGGCUUCAGAUUUUGUUUCUGUUUUAUGAGAUCUGAGGUUUUUUAACAUGAGGAUUCCUAAACCCCUAGUCGAACCCCUUUGCUGGAGAUUCAGAAGCUUUUUCAGCUCAUCUCACGGGCAGCAAGCAGCACAUAUGCUUACACUGAAGCUGUAGAAGCCAAUUCAGGUCAUUCGCUUCCUUUCGGCUGGAAUUAUACCCAAAUUGUGUCACAUUAUAGGUAUCGAGUUAAUCAAAAGUAAGACUAAAAACUUAAAAAUGGGGGGGAAAUGUUUAGUUAAUGUGGUUUGUUUUAAACAACAGAGUCUUCAAAACAGAAUCUGGGGUAGCGGGGCGGGUGGUGGUAAAUUUUUAAAAGAUUUUAAGUGCGAAAUUGGGAACCCAAGACUAGAGAGGUCUCCAGGCCCCAUCUCUGAGUGUGACUUGCUGACCCAGCCAUCGGAACUAACCCAGGAACACAUAAGACAGGCCUUUCUCUCACAGGACUGCCCUCCCUGUGGGAAGGAGCAGGAUGAGACCAUGGGUGAGACCUAGCUUCUGAGAAUGUAAGACCCCCACUUGGAGCCUCACCUCCUGAGUCUAGAAGGCUAAGGCUUUGAUGGAGGGCAACAGUGCCAGAGAUGAUGAUAAUUAAUGGACAUCCCUGGGCUGGGUGCUUUAUGACCAUUAUUUCAUUUACUGCUUUUCAAGUAAGUUCCUGAAGCUCUCAGAGCUAGUAAGGGUCAAAGCCUAGAUUUCAACCCAGGCCCAAGUCCAUGGCUGUAACCAGUAUGGUGUAUUGCCUCAUGGAAUUGCCUGUAAAUCUCAAAUGUUUUCAAAAUUCAACAAACAGUUGAGCCUCACGUAUAUUGCGCGGCACUAGAUGGGGCCGGAAAUGCAUUCUGAGUUGAGUAAGGUGGGCCGGAGGAGCCUGGCAUUUAGUCGGUUUCCAGUUGGGAGGUUGUUUCUUCUACUCUGAGAAGGUUCAGAGUGUGCUGGUAAACACCUAGGUAGCCCAAAGGACAGCAAUGGAGGAAGACUUCCCGGAGAGGGUGUGACUGCCGAAGAGACCCAAGUCAGAAGUCUGAUUCUCACAGCCCAGAGGCUCAUCCCUCUUAGUGUCUGGUGGAGCCUUGAACUGCCCAAAGGGAGGAUGGGAGGAGCAGAAGAGGGAAGUGCCAGCCUCACCUUGAAGUGGAUGAUUAGGUCCUUGGAAAGAACGGAAGUUUUAGUUAGAUUUGGGGGCGGGGGUGUUGGUAUUCAGCCAGUGACUGUUAAUUCUUAGAUCCAAGCAGAACUAGAACUGCUGAGCAUCUUUUGAGUCCCUGUCUAUAACUGGAGGCCCCAGCCUUGCUUCUACCCUGUCUCACUAGACUUCACGGGGCUGUGUGAGAGCAGAGGGUUGUGGGUUUGCUGCUCUUUUCCCUGGGAAUGUAAAGCUCAGCGUUCACUGAAGACCUGGCAGUUCUAGGAACCAUUGGUGUGCAGGCCAUCCCUUGGUUCUGGGUCUGUCUACUGGUGUUUCUUGGGAGAUCCCCCAGGUGGGGAAGGCUGGCAUUUGUAAGGCCAGGUAGCUCCCUGGGCGCCAGCUUUUGCCCCCGCUGUUGCCCUCUCUGUCUGUCACUCCUGCUGUCUCAACACAAGGAAACUGAGCUGUCUGUUAUGUAAUGGGGCUGGUUGCCCACAAGGAUAAUCUGUCCCUUGAAGCUCUGCAGGACAUCAAAGCAUUCAUGAGGGGACAGGCCUGCCCCAGGGCUGUUGUUGCUCACAUUCUCCUCCUCCCUGGCAUCCUUGGCUCCUGUCAGCCUAGGCAGCAUCCCUUUGGGCAAAUCAGAAUAGCGCCUGUAAUCCUCCAGCUGUGAGCAAAGCUGCCUGACGGUUGGGGUCUUUCCAACUCCCAUUUUCUCUUACGCUAGGGACACAGAUACUCCCUCCAACAAUAACAGCUCUGGUUCUAAAAACCUGUUUUGAGGGGCCCUCUGACUUGUGCAGGGCAGAGGCCCUGCCCUUUUAUCUCCAGCCCUGAAUUAAGUACUUUUACAUAGAGUAUCUUAUUAUCACAUCAUCUGCGUAAGUGUUCUGUUAUCUGCCAUCAUUGUGCAGAUGAGGAAGCUGAGAAUCAUUUUGUCACAGUUUUCAGAGGCAGGAUUUGAAACCUGAUAGCUGACUGGAAAUUCCACUCUUCUAUCCUGCCUCCUACAGCUUCUUUGAAAGCAGCUUUUGAUGGGUUUAUAGGUGGGUUCCCCCUCCUAUUAUCUCCACACAGAGGCCCCCAGGUAUUAGUGUCGGUGCUGCCCGUGGGCAUCUUUCAGAGUCUGACAGUCUCGGCACAGCACACCGCAGCAGGGCCACCUUCUGCUCCUUCAGGUGAGAUCACCUGUGUGUUGAUUCCUCUUGUGUCACACUGAUACAGCCUCAAACAUGGGCAGGCGAGGCAAGGCUGGGAUGGUGAGGCACCCACAUAACCAAGGGCCGGGCGACAGUGGCAGAAGCCACACAAGCAGGCAGAGGUUAAAAUUCCCAAAAGGUUGGAAAGCGGGAGACCCAAAGUGCAUCCCCUUUGGGGGCAGCAGGAAAGCACUGGCACCGAGGGGGUGCUGACAGGACAGUCUAUGCACCAGGACAAGGAAGGGCUCUGAUGUGACCCAAAGGCACCCUGUUGUCUCUGUUCCCCGGGACCUGGCAGAAGCCCGUUCUGAGUGAGCUUAGCCUGGACACUUAAGGUUGAUGAGGAUCCAAAGCAAAAUGGCAGGGUUGCUGGGUUUCUCCCUGACCCAUCUUCCAGCUCAUUUAUUGACUCUUGGCCAAAGCCGAGGGCUUUCAUGAUUCGUCCCUGUUGUUGAUGUGGCUGCCUGCAGCCCUGCGUUGAAAGAUUCUGAGGCCAAGUCAGAUUUGGUGAGCAGGAGCCCUCGUAUGACAGGCGCUUGCCCAGCGGUGGUCUUGGUAGUGUAGACCCCAAUGCUGUCCUCUAGGAGCUCACAGGUUAGCUGUGGACCUAAGACAACAUUUAGUUGUAGAAAUACAGGAAGCCUGGAGAGAGUGGAGGGAAAGCUUCCUGGAGAAGGUGGUGCCUUGGGCUGGUUCUUGAAGAUAGGUUUAGGGGCACCUUGUAAGCCAGGUGGUGAGUGAGGAGGUCACAUCUCAGGGAUUGUGUGAAACUCGCCCUGGCACACUGAGGCUUUGUUGGGUACAGGACUCAGCUGGUAAGGGGAGAGGGGACUGUCGUUGUAGUGAAGUACCGUCGGAGGGGCAUUCAAGAUGAGGACCUGGAGAGAAUGCCCAGGGUUCUGUCUUGAUAAACUAGGGCAGCAACAUAUAAGCUCCCAGCCGCUCUUUUCAUUUCUACUAGUGAGUCUUCUGUGAUUUUACAAAAUCAAAGGAAAUGGAGACCUCCUCCAGCAUUUCUAGGAUUCAGAGGCAUGCAGGCCUUAAAACUGCCGGCGAAGUUUAAAAUAAAUCAAUACAGUAAAAUACUGCAGUGAAUUUCCCAACUUUAAAGGAAUUACGCUUUCAGUUACAGGUGCCAGGGGAAAGCUGUAACUCAGCCUGCAUUGUACACAGGUCAGAAUUCUGUAUUUUGUUUCUUUGUAAAAGGAAGUGAUGUCUAGGGACUCAGGAGGAGUGGAUUAGAGCCACCCAGGCACACCUUAGGGCAUAAUGAAGAAGAUGAAAAUGCUUCUAUUUUCCCAGGCUGCAUAAAGGAGCCAGAAGUAGGGCCUGGGCAGGUAAUCUUAUGAAUGGUAGGUAACCUUGGCUUUUUAUAAUUCCAAGGCCUGGCACUGGAGCAGUAGUGGAAGGCAGGUGGGCUCUGGUACAUCAUGUUGGAUUUUGGUAUUGACCAUCUGUUCCAGUGGGAAAGACACAGAUGAUGUGAGCCAAUUGACUCAUUCCGUGUUUACUUCCAUGCUUUUGUAAAAAGGAAGCCCUUAAAUGUCAUGUACAGCACCCUUUUGUUUUUUUCCUGCUUUUUUCGUACAUGUCUAAGGCAUGUCCUCCCAGUCUAGGGCAAAGCUAAGGCAUGGACUGAAAAAAGGGUAGUGCUGUCAGAUCUUGGCAGAAUACAUGGGCCUUUCCAGCCCAGCCCAGCCUUGUACCAGACAUAAGGAGAGCUGGAAGUGACAACUAAAGACUCAUUUGUUGUUAGUAACCAGAUUGCAGGCUUGGAUGUGAUGAAUGUUUGGAAGGAGUCCUUGGUUUCAUGGGACAGCGGAAAUGAGUGUGAAUGUACCACACCCGAGACCAAAGAACAGGGUGACUUUCACCUUCCAAAAAAAAAUUGCUUGGGAGUUUAGGCCAGUUGCCUAAACUGAAAUCCAGAUGGCACCACUGAGGUGAUCCAGAGAGCCUCCUCCCUCCCCGACCCUGAGCAUCUCGGGGCACCGGCACCAACCGGGUGUAGCAUGGAGAGCCUUCGGGAGCACAUCACUCCAGCCCAGUGUUUUGGAAGUCCUAUAGCAGGGGGACACCUGUCCCCAGAAGUCCAGUUUCCCACCUACUCUUAGAAUUUCGUUGAGAUGGUCAUACGAUAGUGAUGACAUAGGCAGACCCAGAUGUGCAUCUUCAGAAUCCACAGACUCAUGUUACACACCCUGGGUAAAGUUUAGAAAGACUGCUUCCAUUUUAUCAGUGGAAGGAACUGAGGGUGUCAGGAGUAAGAAGUUUUCUACUUAACAGAUCCAGAGUCUAUCCUGUGACCUUGAAGACAUCAACAUGCUAUUGCCACAUUCCUCCCUGCUCCCCCUCACCAGCUCGCACCCCCCCCAGCACACACGGUGACCACGACAAACUUCAGCACUGUUGGUUCUCAAAGUAUGGUCCCCAGACUGGCAGCAUCUCCAGGAAACUUCUUAAAAAUAACGUAUUUCUGGGCUUCCCUGGUGGCUCAGUCGUUGAGAGUCCUCCUGCCAAUGCAGGGGACACGGGUUCAUGACCUGGUCCGGGAAGAUCCCACAUGCCAC
Aethalodelphis obliquidens (Pacific white-sided dolphin) is the source of this 8530-nucleotide RNA transcript. It is a transcript of the gene named serine/threonine kinase 35, with no coding region annotated. The record is from RefSeq and is a predicted model, not a curated record. The transcript has 5 exons. NCBI's taxonomy places the organism in Eukaryota, Metazoa, Chordata, Mammalia, Artiodactyla, Delphinidae.